This 292-nucleotide ribosomal RNA is filed under the name uncultured Acidobacteriota bacterium. RNAcentral's name for it is "uncultured Acidobacteria bacterium partial 16S ribosomal RNA". Lineage: Bacteria; Pseudomonadati; Acidobacteriota. The record is from RNAcentral.
GGACUACUCGGGUUUCUAAUCCUGUUUGCUCCCCUAGCUUUCGUUCCUCAGUGUCAGUUGCGAUCCAGUCAGCCGCCUUCGCCACGGGUGUUCCUGCAGAUAUCUACGCAUUUCACCGCUACACCUGCAAUUCCACUGACCUCUCUCGCACUCGAGCGCGGCAGUUUUGAAAGCAGCCUCUGGGUUAAGCCCAGAGAUUUCACUUCCAACUUGCCGCACCACCUACGAACCCUUUACACCCAGUAAUUCCGAACAACGCUGGCCCCCUACGUCUUACCGCGGCUGCUGGCAC